This 218-nucleotide unclassified non-coding RNA is filed under the name Hevea brasiliensis (rubber tree). Lineage: Eukaryota; Viridiplantae; Streptophyta; Magnoliopsida; Malpighiales; Euphorbiaceae. The record is from RNAcentral.
AAGAGAUACUACACAAGUUCAGACAUUUAAGAAUAACAUAGAGCACAUAAUAUUGUAUGCAAAAAUCAUGAAUGCUCAUUCCAAAAUAAAUUCAUUUUUUAACAUUGCUGAAAUCUGUAAUUGAUCAAUUGUUAGCGCUUAGUUAUGCUUAAUGGAUGGCUUAGGACUUCCAAAUGAUGCUUUCUAGUAAUAUUGAGGGUUGUGGAUUUAGGAAUACG